This 502-nucleotide ribosomal RNA is filed under the name uncultured bacterium. RNAcentral's name for it is "bacterial SSU rRNA". It matches the Rfam family "Bacterial small subunit ribosomal RNA", at positions 28 to 517 of the family's 1533-position model. The record is from RNAcentral.
GAUGAACGCUAGCUACAGGCUUAACACAUGCAAGUCGAGGGGAAACGAUAUUGGAAGCUUGCUUCCGAUAGGCGUCGACCGGCGCACGGGUGAGUAACGCGUAUCCAACCUGCCCAUCACUUGGGGAUAACCUUGCGAAAGUAAGACUAAUACCCAAUGACGUCUCUAGAAGACAUCUGAAGGAGAUUAAAGAUUUAUCGGUGAUGGAUGGGGAUGCGUCUGAUUAGCUUGUUGGCGGGGUAACGGCCCACCAAGGCGACGAUCAGUAGGGGUUCUGAGAGGAAGGUCCCCCACAUUGGAACUGAGACACGGUCCAAACUCCUACGGGAGGCAGCAGUGAGGAAUAUUGGUCAAUGGGCGAGAGCCUGAACCAGCCAAGUAGCGUGCAGGAUGACGGCCCUAUGGGUUGUAAACUGCUUUUAUAAGGGAAUAAAGUGGGAGUCGUGACUCUUUUUGCAUGUACCUUAUGAAUAAGGACCGGCUAAUUCCGUGCCAGCAGCCG